GUGUAACUCAGUGUUAGAGUGUGUGCUUAGCACGCAUGAUGUCCUGGGUUCAAUUCCCAACAC
This 63-nucleotide transfer RNA is filed under the name Dipodomys ordii (Ord's kangaroo rat). It matches the Rfam family "tRNA", at positions 5 to 66 of the family's 71-position model. From Rfam's summary of the family: Transfer RNA (tRNA) molecules are approximately 80 nucleotides in length. Their secondary structure includes four short double-helical elements and three loops (D, anti-codon, and T loops). Further hydrogen bonds mediate the characteristic L-shaped molecular structure. tRNAs have two regions of fundamental functional importance: the anti-codon, which is responsible for specific mRNA codon recognition, and the 3' end, to which the tRNAs corresponding amino acid is attached (by aminoacyl-tRNA synthetases). tRNAs cope with the degeneracy of the genetic code in two manners: having more than one tRNA (with a specific anti-codon) for a particular amino acid; and 'wobble' base-pairing, i.e. permitting non-standard base-pairing at the 3rd anti-codon position. The record is from Rfam by way of RNAcentral. Lineage: Eukaryota; Metazoa; Chordata; Mammalia; Rodentia; Heteromyidae.